This 484-nucleotide ribosomal RNA is filed under the name uncultured bacterium. RNAcentral's name for it is "partial 16S ribosomal RNA". It matches the Rfam family "Bacterial small subunit ribosomal RNA", at positions 30 to 507 of the family's 1533-position model. The record is from RNAcentral.
AUUGAACGCUGGCGGCAGGCCUAACACAUGCAAGUCGAGCGGAUGAAGGGAGCUUGCUCCUGGAUUCAGCGGCGGACGGGUGAGUAAUGCCUAGGAAUCUGCCUGGUAGUGGGGGAUAACGUCCGGAAACGGGCGCUAAUACCGCAUACGUCCUGAGGGAGAAAGUGGGGGAUCUUCGGACCACACGCUAUCAGAUGAGCCUAGGUCGGAUUAGCUAGUUGGUGGGGUAAAGGCCCACCAAGGCGACGAUCCGUAACUGGUCUGAGAGGAUGAUCAGUCACACUGGAACUGAGACACGGUCCAGACUCCUACGGGAGGCAGCAGUGGGGAAUAUUGGACAAUGGGCGAAAGCCUGAUCCAGCCAUGCCGCGUGUGUGAAGAAGGUCUUCGGAUUGUAAAGCACUUUAAGUUGGGAGGAAGGGCAGUAAGUUAAUACCUUGCUGUUUUGACGUUACCAACAGAAUAAGCACCGGCUAACUUCGUG